This 497-nucleotide ribosomal RNA is filed under the name uncultured bacterium. Its description in RNAcentral is "partial 16S ribosomal RNA". It matches the Rfam family "Bacterial small subunit ribosomal RNA", at positions 28 to 507 of the family's 1533-position model. The record is from RNAcentral.
GACGAACGCUGGCGGCGUGCCUAACACAUGCAAGUCGAGCGAAAAGACCAGGAGUUUUCUCGCCUGACGUUAGCGGCCGUCGGGAGAGUAACAUGUGGACAAAAUACCUCUCAGACUGGGAUAAUUAUGGGAGACCGUAGCUAAUACCGGAAAAUAUAUCGCAUCGGAUUGUUCAAUCGUGAAAGUCGGUUUUUGUGUCAGUAAUAGCUGGAUCAGCGCCCGAUCAGUUGGUUGGUAAGGUAACGGCUUAUCAAGGCUACGAUGGGUACCCGACCCGAGCGGGUGGUCGGCCACAUGGGAUCUGAGACACGUUCGAGACUCCUGCGGUGAGCAGCGGUAGAGAAUCUUCCGCGAUGGGGGAGAGCGUGACAGUGCAACGCCGCGUGAGUGAUGAAGGACUUCUGAUCGUAAAGCUCUGUUAGUAGGGGAGAACUAAUGUGUAAGUAACUAGGCAGAUCUUGACGGUACCGGGUCAGAAAGCCACGGCUAACUACGUG